AGUGAACGCUGGCGGUAGGCCUAACACAUGCAAGUCGAACGGCAGCACAGUAAGAGCUUGCUCUUACGGGUGCGAGUGGCGGACGGGUGAGGAAUACAUCGGAAUCUACUUUUUCGUGGGGGAUAACGUAGGGAAACUUACGCUAAUACCGCAUACGACCUACGGGUGAAAGCAGGGGUUCUUCGGACCUUGCGCGAUUGAAUGAGCCGAUGUCGGAUUAGCUAGUUGGCGGGGUAAAGGCCCACCAAGGCGACGAUCCGUAGCUGGUCUGAGAGGAUGAUCAGCCACACUGGAACUGAGACACGGUCCAGACUCCUACGGGAGGCAGCAGUGGGGAAUAUUGGACAAUGGGCGCAAGCCUGAUCCAGCCAUACCGCGUGGGUGAAGAAGGCCUUCGGGUUGUAAAGCCCUUUUGUUGGGAAAGAAAAGCAGCAGGUUAAUACCCCGCUGUUCUGACGGUACCCAAAGAAUAAGCACCGGCUAACUUCGUG
RNAcentral lists this ribosomal RNA (491 nucleotides) under uncultured bacterium. RNAcentral describes it as "partial 16S ribosomal RNA". It matches the Rfam family "Bacterial small subunit ribosomal RNA", at positions 29 to 507 of the family's 1533-position model. The record is from RNAcentral.